This 271-nucleotide long non-coding RNA is filed under the name Triticum aestivum (bread wheat). RNAcentral describes it as "long non-coding RNA (TAES_LNC021700)". The record is from RNAcentral. Lineage: Eukaryota; Viridiplantae; Streptophyta; Magnoliopsida; Poales; Poaceae.
AAAAUUGAAUCAGAAAAAUCAAAAUAACAAGCUGACACAUCAAACUGUUCAAAAUAGACUAUGGUGUUCAUCUCCAUCUCUAGCAUCCAGCAAGCAUUUCUCCACUCCAAAACUUUUCUCAUCUUCACAUUACUUUUCUUUUUCCUCUCUCUCUCUCUCUCUCUCUCUCUCUCUCUCUCUCUCUCUCUCUCUCUCUCCACAAAUUGGUACUCCAGUAUAUGACAUCCAAAUUGCACGCUAGGUUCAUGCAUAACAAGUACGUACUGGUAAG